GGAAAUGGAGUCUUCCAAAAUGGAAGUUCCACGGCGUGGAGGACGUCCUCCCAGAGGCAUUCUGGGAAACGGAGUCUUACUUUCUGGAUCUGUGGGUCUGGAUCCCUGGUGGAGGAGGGGCCACGCAUCAAGUGUAACCAGGAUCCCUGGCUGCAUCCGGGUUCUUUUAUUUUCCUUUCCUUUCUGAUAAUUUUAGCUUUGAUCCUCCUGGGCCUCCUUCCUGUGAUAUAGGAGGGCGCUAUGGAAAAAAACAUGGAAGCAUUUCUGAGGAGAACACAGACCGAGGGAAAGGAAAUCCUCACAGUCAGUGUUUCUAUGGACCUCAGGGAUUCAUCACAAGCACCUUACUGGAUUGAUGCACCAGUUACAGAUGGAGAAAGUGAGGCAGAGAUGAAGUGACUUUUCAAGGAGACUAACCAAUCCUGAUCCCUCCCUAGUGUGAGAUUGGUCCUCUCAUAGACCAAACCAAUGCCUGGAAGUAGGGGACAGAGAAUCUUGGGGCAUGCUGGAGAAGGUAAUACCAACAUGUAGUCUUUUCAAAAUCCACAUUGAUAAAAAUAAAAGGAUUCCAUGAUAACCAUACACCACUAUUUGCCCAGCCAUUUGUGACUUUGAGUUUCCUUUUAAUUCUUGAUUCAUCAUCCCCCCCAAAAGCACCUUUUAAUAGAUGUCCUUUUCCUUUUGGUUUAUUAAUGCCCUUUAAACAUAGUUCCAAACUGAUCUCUCUAGAAAGCUGAAUUAGUUCACAACCGCAAAGUUCAUUCCUUUUUUAAUCUCACAUCUCCUCCAACUUUUGUCACUUUUCUGUCAUAAUAGCCAAUCUAAAAGAUGUGGGCUGGACCCUCAGACUUGUUAUCAUUUGCAUUUCUUCAAAUGAUAGUGAUCACCCUCCACCUAAGGAAAACACAUAAACUUGAGCACAUCAAUUAGGUAUUUUUUUCACUAUGAAUUCCCUGAUAUGAAGAGAUGAUCUCAGACUGAAAGCCUUCCUACAGGGAAUCCAUCUGGAACUGAUCUGUUCAGAAGACAUUUUAUCAUACUGAACAAGCUCUGGACUUUCCUUUUCAAUAUCUCUCUUCACUCAUGACAGGAAAAAGAUUUCUAGCCAAAAGGAAUUCCGCCUUGGCAAUAAGAGAUGAUUGCAGACCUAAUCUAAAUUAAUUUUGGUCGCCAGGGAAUAUCCCAAAUAAAAUACCCAAGUCAGUUUGGAAAUUUAUGGUGGUUUAAUUAAUAUAGAGGGAAGGAAUUAAGGAGAAGAGAGAGGGAAAAAGCAUAGGAUUUCUCCCACCUGGUCUGUGCCAGGGGGAGUUCAAAGUCCUCCUCCACGAGGUCUCUGAAGAUUGUGGCUUUCUAAGAGGAUAGUGUUUUGAAGGUAAAGGAGAAAGAAUCAGCCUAAACUAUGAGAGAGCUCAGUAAAGAUGCCUCACCUGAACUAGGUUACUCAGCUCCCUCCAGUAUGGUAUCCAAGAAAACACUGUUAAAUCCGGACAAUAGCAGCUGCCAUGCCAACAUGCCAAAACCCUCAGCAUGCUGCUGCCAGCCACCUCUCCACUGCCAAAGAGGCCAGAGAGAGGAAGUGACACAAAAUAUAUAGAAGAUUUUUACAUCACUUUCCUGUGUCUCACAUGUACCAAUGGUAGCUUAAGCCCAGGGGUCUGUCAGUUGUUUCUGAUUUGUCAUUUUCUAGCACAUGUCUGUCAUCCUCUUAAAUACUUAAUCCUUAAGUAUGGGGGUAGACAUUCCUGUUUUUGUUAGACUAAGUGGGGUGGAGUAAUCUAAAGUUCACAUAGGCUAGUUCUCUUGGGGCUGUAAGCAAGUGGAGGUAGGGAGCAGCUGGCUUUUAUAUUCCCUAUGCUCUAAGUUGAUUUUAAUAAAUAGUAUUAAAUAUAAGACUUGGGAGUAUUGUAUAUUAGUUUUUACAAUUUGGCAACCACCAAAGGAUCUGAACUGAGAGCUUUUUAAGAACUCCUCUGCAGCUCAUUCCCCACCCCCCAGAAGUUUACCUUGAGUAGAGCUUGUCCCCAAACCACCCUGGGUGCUACUGCUCAAUAAAUGUCAUGGCGGUAUCAGGGACACCCCUAAACGUUCCUAAGCUUUCCCCUAGAAUAGUGUCCAUAGGACCUUUUGCUGUGAAACAGUCUUUCCUCUUAAUGCCUGGCUCCCCCAUAAAUCUGCUGGGGAGAGAUCAUUUAUGCAAGCUUAGGGCCACAAUAACUUGUUCUCCAGAUGGUUCUAUGUCAAUGGAAUUGCCUGAGGAAUCCUCAACUUUUCUCCUUGUACAUCUCUCAGAUAUUCAUGAGAUGAAGGAGACUCCUAUUUUUGAGAUCCCAACUGAUAGACCUGAGUCUCUCUGGGCCAUAUCAUCUUCUCCUGUUGGUCUACUUAAAUUGGUUGUCCCUGCCCUAAAUCAAACAAAAUCUAGCCUACCUCCUUCCAUUCCUCAGUACCCUCUUUAGAAGAAGGCUAUUGAUGGCAUUACACCAGUAAUAAAUUCAUUGAUUAACCAAGGCAUCAUAAUACCCUGUAAAUCAGAAUACAAUACGCCCAUCCUCCCUGUUAAAAAGCCCAAACUGGGGCCCCAUGGCAAGCAUCUCUAUCAAUUUGUCCAGGAUUCUGAGAGCUGUGAAAAAUCACAUUAUAAAGAGACACCCUGUAGUUUCCAAAAUAAAUACCAUUAUAUCUUCUAUUGCUAGCACAGCUGCAUACUUUACAAUAGUAGACUUGUUCUCAGCUUUCUUUUCAAUGCCUAUACAUGAGAACUCCAGGCAUAUCUUUGCUUUCACAUGGAAGGGCUCUAAGUGGACAUGGGCUCCUUUGCCUCACAGUUUCAUGGAGAGUCCUACGUUGUUCACACAAUUCUUAACUGCUGAUACAGAUGCCAUAAAAAUUUUAAUGCAGCCAUUUAAUUAAGUAUAUGAUUUUCCCUUGGCUUCACCAAAUUCUGAAUUGUACCAAGAGGAUAGCAAACAUCUUCUUUUGGAGCUACAUAAGAGAGGCUACAAGGUCUCCAAAGACAAAGUUCAGUGGUGUCCCCCCAAGGUACAAUAUUUAGGCUUCAUUUUAACUCCUGGGUCCCAUUUAAUUUCUCCCAAGCAUAUAGAAAAUAUCCAAAAGUUAAGCACUCCUACCACUAAAAAGCAAUUGAGGGCAAUUUUUGGAGCAACAGGAUUUUGUCAGCAGUGGAUGCCUUGCAAUAGAGAAAUCACUUAUGCAAAAGGGAACUGCCCCCAAAUUGGCUUUUUGUCAACCCAAUAAUAAUUGGUUUUGUUCUCUUUUCCUUUUAUUUCCUUGGAAAAUGUAUUGUCAAUGCAAACCUUGUUACUGAACUUCUUUCUGCCAUCCAGCUCCCUGUAGCUAUAGCUGUCAUUCACUGCUCUACACAUACAGGUGGCACUGAUUCUUUCUCCAGGGGAAAUAGCCAAGCAGAUAUCGCAGCCAAAAUAGCAGCCUUAGAAGGCCCUGAAUUAAUUAUUCCACUAACAAUUACUGAUAAUUUGGAUCUAUUCCUUUCUUAUAACGACAAGUUAUAAGGAAAACUGGAAGCAGAAAUUUAAAGCAAAACAGAUAAAUGGAGUAUGGGUAUCAAUAGAUGGCAAAUCUCUGCUCCUUAGAGCUUUCUAGAAACAGAUUUGUCACUACAUUCAUGAACAAUGCCAUUUUGGCACCCAAGGCAUUGUAGAUUCUGAUAAAAGAGCAUGGAUAGCACUUGGAAUGACUACAGUUGCCUCCAAAGUAUGUACAACUUCUACCUUCUAAGCCUUUAAUGAAUACAUAUUUCAAGGAAAAGCUUUUGGGGGACAUCCUCUCACUUAUACACAAAUUGAUAUUAUCUCUAUGCCAAAAGCUGGACAGUAUAAAUUUUGUCUGAUCAUAGUCAAUCAACUGACCAGAUAGCCUAAAACAUUUUCUACUACUCAUGCCAUAGCAGCUUUUGUUGACAAAGUCCUUUUGAAAGAAAUAAUUCCAUGUUUUCGCCUGCCAGCAUGUAUUGAUUUGGAUAAAGGAACUCAUUUCACUGAUUUUGGCUUAUCUCAAAUUUAUUCAUAUUUGGGAAUAACUCCCAAAUUUCAUACAUCAUAUCAUCCCCAGAGCUCGUCAAUUUGAAUGAAUGAAUAAAGAACUUAAAACCAUGGUUGGCAAAUCAUGCAAGGACAGUCAUUUAAACUGGCCUGAAAUUCUACCUUUGGCCCUAUUUUAUCUCAGAAGCAGACCCAGAGGUGAUUUACACAUCUCACCAUUUGAGAUGCUAUUUGGACAUCCACCUAUUCAGGCACAACCAUUUACCCCUGCCUACACCUCACUAUAAGGAGGGGAUACAACCAUUGCUACAUAUAUCAGACAAUUAUAAACAAAAAUAAAAAGAACUCCAUGACUCUGGAGCUGCUGUUCAAGCAGGGCCAAUAGACUUCUCAUUUCAUGAUUUAAACCUAGGUGAUAGUGUGUACAUAAAGAAUUUCAAAUGUAUUGGGUCGACUUAACCUUUGUAUGAUGGACCAUUCCAGAUCCCAGUAACUACACCAACAGCCAUAAAAUUGGAGAGAGGGACUCGUGGAGUCAUUAUAGUCAUGUAAAACGAGUGCCUUUUGUUGAUGUUGAAUACUUGCUUGUACUGAAUGUAUUUGACUACUAAAUGUGAUUAGACUUCUUUAUUGCUAGAUUUGUACUAUUUUGUUGCACUUUAUUUGGUUGAUCCUUGUAUUUGCACAAAUUCCAUUGUAGGGAAACACAUAUACUAACUCAAAGAAGAAAAUCUGUAUGAGUGACCUUUAUUGACCUGGUGUGCCUUUUUUGACAUUUUGUGACUUUUAAAGUAUUUUUUUGUAUUUUUUGAAUGUGUUAUUGCUUUAUCAACCUCAUUUGCACUCGCAUUGUUUUGUCUACCUCAUUAGCACUCACAAUGAGGAUCAUAAAUCAAAGAGGAAAUGAAUUUUAUUUUUUGGAAACUAGUCUCUCUGCUUUACCUCUGUAAUUGUGAAAUAUACACAAUUUUUAUAUUUUGUUUUCUUCCUACAUGUGUCACACAGUAUUUGAUUUUUUCCCCUUCUUUUCUAAUUUUUUUUGCCUUUGAAACAUGUCACUAGUAUUGAACAAGCAUUUAUUUCUACUAUUUUGACUUUUUGCAGUAGAAUAAGCUAAGAUGAAAAGCAUUCCCCCAAAAAAGCUUUGGACUAUGGCAACCCGCCACCAGUUAUUUAACUAUUAUGAGACUUUUGCUCGUUCAGUAUGUGUAAUCCAAGGAGAAACUGACAACAAAGGAGUACAGAACUUGACCCACAAAGUGCCAAACAAGCUUAAAAAUGUAAAAGAAACCCAGGCAAUACUACAGGGAUUGAUGACAUUCUGCACAAGAAAACACAAUGACUUGAUCAUGUGUGAGACUUGAGGUUUCGGCUAUUUUAAUAUGUGUUAAAAGUUUCUCUCCAGUGUGGAUUCUCUAAUGUGUAGCAAAACUCAUCCUGUGUGUGAAAGCCUUUCCACAUAGUUUACAUUCAUUCCAGCGUGGAUGCUCUGAUGCUUAACAAUAUCACCCCUCUGUGUGAAAACCUUUCCACACUGUAUACAUUCAAAAGGUUUCUCUACAGUGUGGAUUUUCAGAUGUACAGCAAGAUGACUGCUCCGUCUGAAAGCUUUUCCACAUUGUUUACAUUCAUAAGGCUUCUCUCCAGAGAGGAUUCUUUGAUGCUUAUCAAGAGAGCCCCUCUCUGUAAAAGCCUUUCCACAUUGUGUACAUUCAUAAGGUUUGUCUCCAGACUGGAUUCUUUGAUGGUCAGCAAGAUGCCCCCCCCUCCAUUUGAAUGCCUUUCCACAUUGUAUACAUUCAUAAGGUUUCUCACCAGUGUGGAUUCUCUGAUGUGCAGUAAGAGAGCACCUCUGUGUGAAAGCCUUUCCACAUUGUUUACAUUCAUACGGUUUCUCUCCAGAGUGGAUUCUCUAAUGUUUAGCAAGAUUUCCCCUCUGUGUGAAAGCCUUUCGACACUGUGUACAUUCAUAAGGUUCCUCUCCAGUGUGUAUCCUCUGAUGUGCAGCAAGACUCUCCCUGUGUAUGAAAGUCUUUCCAUACUGUGUACAUUCAUAAGAUUUGUCCCCAGUGUGGAUUUUCAGAUGUGAAGAAACGUGGGUACUCCAUGUGAAAGUCUUUCCACAUUGUGUACAUUCAUGACAUUUCUCUCCAGUGUGGAUUCUCUCAUGCUGAGCAAGAUUUCCCCUCCAUUUGAAAGACUUUCCACACUGUUUACAUUCAUAAGGUCUCUCUUCAGAGUGGAUUAUUUUAUAUGAACCAAGCUCAGAAUUCUGACUGAAAGAUCGAUCUCACUCCUUUAUUACUCACAGAAAGCAUCUCUGUAUUUUUACUAUUUGGAUGUCUUCUGAGGUUGAAGCUUGAGCAAUAAGAGAUUCUCCUUAGGUUACACUGGUACAUGGACUUUUCGGGUUUCUCAUUUGUCUGUUCAAAUCCCAAUUUUUCCGAAAAGCAUUUGAUGUAUUCACUAUCCCAACAAUAGUAAUUUCCUGAGUUCAAUUUCAUAUACUGAUUUAGGCCUCAAUGGUGGAUGAAUUUCUCUGUAAUUUCAUCAAAUUCAUAGUCAUUCUUUGGAUUUUUAUUUACCUUGAUUUUAAAGUCUCAGAUUUCUCUGAAAUUGAAGUCACAGAGAUCCUUAUUCAUGCCUCUUUGAGGACCAGAUCACUCCACAAGAAAGCUCAGCUUUGGAGACAUCUCCUUCACUUCAAGAUUAGUCUCUGCUUCUGAAGAAAACAAAUGAUAUAAAUACAGAUGGAAAGGACACACACACACACACGCAAUAUAAAUUCUUUCCUCUGAUGGUAAUAAGUAAAUAGAUUUUUAUUCUAUUUCCCAAGGACAAAAGGAGUUUUCAAACUUAAACAAUCAGAACCCGACUUUGGAGACACCGUUUGGUCAUAACUGCAAGUUGGAACAUUUUAGAAAUACUUUCACAAUAAAUAACAACGAACCCUCAAAAUGGAUCUGUGACAAAGACAGGACCAAGGUUCUCAUCAUUCUUCACAACUCUUUUCAUAAGUAAACAAUGGAGAAGUGACCUGACCAACUUCUUUGCAAGUGCACUAGAACUCAAACCCUGGGCCUAAGAACAUUCUGCUCAUAGUAUUGAAUAAUCUUUAUCCAUUGCCCUUUCUGUAUUUCUAUUAAA
This is a long non-coding RNA of Monodelphis domestica (gray short-tailed opossum), 7166 nucleotides long. RefSeq lists it as uncharacterized. NCBI's taxonomy places the organism in Eukaryota, Metazoa, Chordata, Mammalia, Didelphimorphia, Didelphidae. The record is from RefSeq and is a predicted model, not a curated record.